GUCUACAACUGAAUGCACCCGAUCUCGUCUGAUCUCAGAAGCUAAGCAAGGUUGGGCCUGCUUAGUACUUGGAUGGAAGGAAAAGCAGUUUCAAAGGCU
RNAcentral lists this ribosomal RNA (99 nucleotides) under Castor canadensis (American beaver). Lineage: Eukaryota; Metazoa; Chordata; Mammalia; Rodentia; Castoridae. The record is from RNAcentral.